Molecule: small nuclear RNA, 23 nt
Filed under: Arabidopsis thaliana (thale cress)
Lineage: Eukaryota; Viridiplantae; Streptophyta; Magnoliopsida; Brassicales; Brassicaceae
Description: snRNA_08708
Source: RNAcentral
ACAGAAACUAUAUAUCAUUUCCU